UACGAAGGGGGCUAGCGUUGUUCGGAUUUACUGGGCGUAAAGCGCAUGUAGGCGGGCCGAUAAGUUGGGGGUGAAAUCCCGGAGCUCAACUCCGGAACUGCCUCCAAAACUGUCGGCCUGGAGCAGAUGAGAGGCGAGUGGAAUUCCGAGUGUAGAGGUGAAAUUCGUAGAUAUUCGGAGGAACACCAGUGGCGAAGGCGACUCGCUGGCAUCUUGCUGACGCUGAGAUGCGAAAGCGUGGGGAGCAAACAGG
RNAcentral lists this ribosomal RNA (253 nucleotides) under uncultured bacterium. RNAcentral describes it as "partial 16S ribosomal RNA". It matches the Rfam family "Bacterial small subunit ribosomal RNA", at positions 524 to 776 of the family's 1533-position model. The record is from RNAcentral.